RNAcentral lists this small RNA (83 nucleotides) under Marmota monax (woodchuck). Lineage: Eukaryota; Metazoa; Chordata; Mammalia; Rodentia; Sciuridae. The record is from RNAcentral.
GCUGAGUAUGGUAGUGCAUGCUUAUAAUCCCAGCUACUUGGGAGGCUGAGGCAGGAGGAUUGCAAGGUCAAGGCCAGCCUCAG